AAUCAUCGAAAACAAUCAAAGA
Molecule: microRNA, 22 nt
Filed under: Caenorhabditis briggsae
Lineage: Eukaryota; Metazoa; Nematoda; Chromadorea; Rhabditida; Rhabditidae
Description: Cbr-Mir-315_3p* (star (passenger))
Source: RNAcentral